UACGAAGGGGGCUAGCGUUGCUCGGAAUCACUGGGCGUAAAGGGUGCGUAGGCGGGUCUUUAAGUCAGGGGUGAAAUCCUGGAGCUCAACUCCAGAACUGCCUUUGAUACUGAGGAUCUUGAGUACGGGAGAGGUGAGUGGAACUGCGAGUGUAGAGGUGAAAUUCGUAGAUAUUCGCAAGAACACCAGUGGCGAAGGCGGCUCACUGGCCCGUUACUGACGCUGAGGUACGAAAGCGUGGGGAGCAAACAGG
This 253-nucleotide ribosomal RNA is filed under the name uncultured bacterium. RNAcentral's name for it is "partial 16S ribosomal RNA". It matches the Rfam family "Bacterial small subunit ribosomal RNA", at positions 524 to 776 of the family's 1533-position model. The record is from RNAcentral.